This 224-nucleotide long non-coding RNA is filed under the name Elaeis guineensis (African oil palm). RNAcentral describes it as "long non-coding RNA (EGUI_LNC010009)". Lineage: Eukaryota; Viridiplantae; Streptophyta; Magnoliopsida; Arecales; Arecaceae. The record is from RNAcentral.
ACCUGAUGGGCCUCGAGCCGGCUCGAGCCCACUUCCACCCCUACAUAUGAAUUGCUCUUCUCUUCAAAAGAUCUUGACAAUAUUAUAAUUUUAAGACCAUAGGUAUUUUAUUGAGUAUUCUUUUCAUGCAUAUUGGACAUAUUAUCAUAAAUAUCAAACCAAUGGAUUUCGUUUACUUAGAAUACUUGUAAGGAAAUUUAUUAAUUAAAUAAUAUUUAUUGUCA